CAAUAGCGUAUAUUUAAGUUGCUGCAGUUAAAAAGCUCGUAGUUGGAUUUCGGGUGGGAAUGGCCGGUCCGCCGUUUCGGUGUGCACUUGCUACGCCCACCUUGCUGCCGGGGACGUGCUCUUGAGUUCACGCUCGGGACACGGAGUCGGCGAGGUUACUUUGAGUAAAUUAGAGUGUUCAAAGCAGGCCUACGCUCUGGAUACAUUAGCAUGGAAUAACACGAUAGGACUCUGGCCUAUCUUGUUGGUCUGUAGGACCGGAGUAAUGAUUAAGAGGGACAGUCGGGGGCAUUCGUAUUUCAUUGUCAGAGGUGAAAUUCUUGGAUUUAUGAAGGACGAACUACUGCGAAAGCAUUUGCCAAGGAUGUUUUCAUUAA
This 377-nucleotide ribosomal RNA is filed under the name uncultured eukaryote. Its description in RNAcentral is "partial 18S ribosomal RNA". It matches the Rfam family "Eukaryotic small subunit ribosomal RNA", at positions 592 to 976 of the family's 1831-position model. The record is from RNAcentral.